This 569-nucleotide ribosomal RNA is filed under the name uncultured bacterium. Its description in RNAcentral is "bacterial SSU rRNA". It matches the Rfam family "Bacterial small subunit ribosomal RNA", at positions 338 to 916 of the family's 1533-position model. The record is from RNAcentral.
CCUACGGGAGGCAGCAGUGGGGAAUAUUGCACAAUGGGCGAAAGCCUGAUGCAGCGACGCCGCGUGAGGGAUGACGGCCUUCGGGUUGUAAACCUCUUUCAGCAGGGAAGAAGCGAAAGUGACGGUACCUGCAGAAGAAGCGCCGGCUAACUACGUGCCAGCAGCCGCGGUAAUACGUAGGGCGCAAGCGUUGUCCGGAAUUAUUGGGCGUAAAGAGCUCGUAGGCGGCUUGUCACGUCGGUUGUGAAAGCCCGGGGCUUAACCCCGGGUCUGCAGUCGAUACGGGCAGGCUAGAGUGUGGUAGGGGAGAUCGGAAUUCCUGGUGUAGCGGUGAAAUGCGCAGAUAUCAGGAGGAACACCGGUGGCGAAAGGCGGAUCUCUGGGGCCAUUACUGACGCUGAGGAGCGAAAGCGUGGGAGCGAACAGGAUUAGAUACCUGGUAGUCCACGCCGUAAACGGUGGGAACUAAGGUGUUGGCGACAUUCCACGUCGUCGGUGCCGCAGCUAACGCAUUAAUUCCCGCCUGGGGAGUACGGCCGCAAGGCUAAAACUACAAAAUGAAUUGACGG